GGGAAUAUUGGACAAUGGGGGGAACCCUGAUCCAGCCAUGCCGCGUGUGUGAAGAAGGCCUUAUGGUUGUAAAGCACUUUAAGCGAGGAGGAGGCUGCUUUAGUUAAUACCUAGAGAUAGUGGACGUUACUCGCAGAAUAAGCAACGGCUAACUCUGUGCCAGCAGCCGCGGUAAUACAGAGGGUGCAAGCGUUAAUCGGAUUUACUGGGCGUAAAGCGCGCGUAGGCGGCUAAUUAAGUCAAAUGUGAAAUCCCCGAGCUUAACUUGGGAAUUGCAUUCGAUACUGGUUGACUAGAGUGUGGGAGAGGAUGGUAGAAUUCCAGGUGUAGCGGUGAAAUGCGUAGAGAUCUGGAGGAAUACCGAUGGCGAAGGCAGCCAUCUGGCCUAACACUGACGCUGAGGUGCGAAAGCAUGGGGAGC
Molecule: ribosomal RNA, 421 nt
Filed under: uncultured bacterium
Lineage: Bacteria
Description: bacterial SSU rRNA
Rfam family: Bacterial small subunit ribosomal RNA
Source: RNAcentral